UCGAGCGAACAGAUAAGGAGCUUGCUCCUUUGACGUUAGCGGCGGACGGGUGAGUAACACGUGGGUAACCUACCUAUAAGACUGGGAUAACUUCGGGAAACCGGAGCUAAUACCGGAUAACAUUUGGAACCGCAUGGUUCUAAAGUGAAAGAUGGUUUUGCUAUCACUUAUAGAUGGACCCGCGCCGUAUUAGCUAGUUGGUAAGGUAACGGCUUACCAAGGCAACGAUACGUAGCCGACCUGAGAGGGUGAUCGGCCACACUGGAACUGAGACACGGUCCAGACUCCUACGGGAGGCAGCAGUAGGGAAUCUUCCGCAAUGGGCGAAAGCCUGACGGAGCAACGCCGCGUGAGUGAUGAAGGGUUUCGGCUCGUAAAACUCUGUUAUUAGGGAAGAACAAAUGUGUAAGUAACUGUGCACAUCUUGACGGUACCUAAUCAGAAAGCCACGGCUAACUACGUGCCAGCAGCCGCGGUAAUACGUAGGUGGCAAGCGUUAUCCGGAAUUAUUGGGCGUAAAGCGCGCGUAGGCGGUUUCUUAAGUCUGAUGUGAAAGCCCACGGCUCAACCGUGGAGGGUCAUUGGAAACUGGGAAACUUGAGUGCAGAAGAGGAAAGUGGAAUUCCAUGUGUAGCGGUGAAAUGCGCAGAGAUAUGGAGGAACACCAGUGGCGAAGGCGACUUUCUGGUCUGUAACUGACGCUGAUGUGCGAAAGCGUGGGGAUCAAACAGGAUUAGAUACCCUGGUAGUCCACGCCGUAAACGAUGAGUGCUAAGUGUUAGGGGGUUUCCGCCCCUUAGUGCUGCAGCUAACGCAUUAAGCACUCCGCCUGGGGAGUACGACCGCAAGGUUGAAACUCAAAGGAAUUGACGGGGACCCGCACAAGCGGUGGAGCAUGUGGUUUAAUUCGAAGCAACGCGAAGAACCUUACCAAAUCUUGACAUCCUUUGAAAACUCUAGAGAUAGAGCCUUCCCCUUCGGGGGACAAAGUGACAGGUGGUGCAUGGUUGUCGUCAGCUCGUGUCGUGAGAUGUUGGGUUAAGUCCCGCAACGAGCGCAACCCUUAAGCUUAGUUGCCAUCAUUAAGUUGGGCACUCUAGGUUGACUGCCGGUGACAAACCGGAGGAAGGUGGGGAUGACGUCAAAUCAUCAUGCCCCUUAUGAUUUGGGCUACACACGUGCUACAAUGGACAAUACAAAGGGCAGCUAAACCGCGAGGUCAUGCAAAUCCCAUAAAGUUGUUCUCAGUUCGGAUUGUAGUCUGCAACUCGACUACAUGAAGCUGGAAUCGCUAGUAAUCGUAGAUCAGCAUGCUACGGUGAAUACGUUCCCGGGUCUUGUACACACCGCCCGUCACACCAGCGAGAGUUUGUAACACCCGAAGCC
RNAcentral lists this ribosomal RNA (1386 nucleotides) under Staphylococcaceae bacterium b5_i8. Its description in RNAcentral is "16S ribosomal RNA". It matches the Rfam family "Bacterial small subunit ribosomal RNA", at positions 62 to 1428 of the family's 1533-position model. The record is from RNAcentral. Lineage: Bacteria; Bacillati; Bacillota; Bacilli; Caryophanales; Staphylococcaceae.